UGGGGAAUCUUGCGCAAUGGGGGAAACCCUGACGCAGCGACGCCGCGUGCGGGAUGAAGGCCUUCGGGUUGUAAACCGCUUUCAGCAGGGACGAGGCCUUAUGGUGACGGUACCUGCAGAAGAAGCUCCGGCUAAAUACGUGCCAGCAGCCGCGGUAAUACGUAUGGAGCAAGCGUUAUCCGGAUUCAUUGGGCGUAAAGCGCUCGUAGGCGGUCUGUUAGGUCGGCAAGUUAAAUCCGGGGGCUCAACCCCCGUCCGCUUCCGAUACCGGCAGACUUGAGUUUGGUAGGGGAAGGUGGAAUUCCUAGUGUAGCGGUGGAAUGCGCAGAUAUUAGGAAGAACACCGGUGGCGAAGGCGGCCUUCUGGGCCAUAACUGAUGCUGAGGAGCGAAAGCUAGGGGAGCGAACAGG
Molecule: ribosomal RNA, 411 nt
Filed under: Verrucomicrobiota bacterium
Lineage: Bacteria; Pseudomonadati; Verrucomicrobiota
Description: Verrucomicrobia bacterium partial 16S ribosomal RNA
Rfam family: Bacterial small subunit ribosomal RNA
Source: RNAcentral